GAUGAACGCUAGCUACAGGCUUAACACAUGCAAGUCGAGGGGCAUCAGGAAGAAAGCUUGCUUUCUUUGCUGGCGACCGGCGCACGGGUGAGUAACACGUAUCCAACCUGCCCUUUACUCGGGGAUAGCCUUUCGAAAGAAAGGUUAAUACCCGAUGGGAUAAUGAUUCCGCAUGGUUUGAUUAUUAAAGGAUUCCGGUAAAGGAUGGGGAUGCGUUCCAUUAGGUUGUUGGUGAGGUAACGGCUCACCAAGCCUUCGAUGGAUAGGGGUUCUGAGAGGAAGGUCCCCCACAUUGGAACUGAGACACGGUCCAAACUCCUACGGGAGGCAGCAGUGAGGAAUAUUGGUCAAUGGGCGCGAGCCUGAACCAGCCAAGUAGCGUGAAGGAUGACUGCCCUAUGGGUUGUAAACUUCUUUUAUAUUAGAAUAAAGUGCAGUAUGUAUACUGUUUUGUAUGUAUAAUAUGAAUAAGGAUCGGCUAACUCCGUGCCAGCAGCCGCGGUAAUACGGAGGAUCCGAGCGUUAUCCGGAUUUAUUGGGUUUAAAGGGAGCGUAGGUGGACUGGUAAGUCAGUUGUGAAAGUUUGCGGCUCAACCGUAAAAUUGCAGUUGAUACUGUCAGUCUUGAG
Molecule: ribosomal RNA, 628 nt
Filed under: uncultured bacterium
Lineage: Bacteria
Description: bacterial SSU rRNA
Rfam family: Bacterial small subunit ribosomal RNA
Source: RNAcentral